UCAUGGUGGCAAAUGUGGCUUAUGUCAUAGA
Molecule: non-coding RNA, 31 nt
Filed under: Rattus norvegicus (Norway rat)
Lineage: Eukaryota; Metazoa; Chordata; Mammalia; Rodentia; Muridae
Source: RNAcentral